This 285-nucleotide ribosomal RNA is filed under the name uncultured prokaryote. Its description in RNAcentral is "partial 16S ribosomal RNA". It matches the Rfam family "Bacterial small subunit ribosomal RNA", at positions 524 to 817 of the family's 1533-position model. The record is from RNAcentral.
UACGUAGGGGGCGUAGCGUUAUUCCGGAUUUACUGGGCGUAAAGGGUGCGUAGGUGGUUUCUUAAGUCAGAGGUGAAAGGCUACGGCUCAACCGUAGUAAGCCUUUGAAACUGGGAAACUUGAGUGCAGGAGAGGAGAGUGGAAUUCCUAGUGUAGCGGUGAAAUGCGUAGAUAUUAGGAGGAACACCAGUUGCGAAGGCGGCUCUCUGGACUGUAACUGACACUGAGGCACGAAAGCGUGGGGAGCAAACAGGAUUAGAUACCCCGGUAGUCCCUGAGCGGGCU